AAGCGCGCGUAGGUGGUUUGUUAAGUUGGAUGUGAAAGCCCCGGGCCUCAACCUGGGAACUGCAUCCAAAACUGGCAAGCUAGAGUAUGGUAGAGGGUGGUGGAAUUUCCUGUGUAGCGGUGAAAUGCGUAGAUAUAGGAAGGAACACCAGUGGCGAAGGCGACCACCUGGACUGAUACUGACACUGAGGUGCGAAAGCGUGGGGAGCAAACAGGAUUAGAUACCCUUGU
RNAcentral lists this ribosomal RNA (230 nucleotides) under uncultured bacterium. RNAcentral describes it as "partial 16S ribosomal RNA". It matches the Rfam family "Bacterial small subunit ribosomal RNA", at positions 563 to 791 of the family's 1533-position model. The record is from RNAcentral.